CCUACGGGUGGCAGCAGUGAGGAAUAUUGGUCAAUGGACGAGAGUCUGAACCAGCCAAGUAGCGUGAAGGAUGACUGUACUUUGGGUCGUAAACCUCUUUUAUCAGGGAACAAAAUGUUCCACGUGUGGCCUUUUGUAUGUACCAUAAGAAGAAGGAUCGGCUAACUCCGUGCCAGCAGCCGCGGUAAUACGGAGGAUCCGAGCGUUAUCCGGAUUUAUUGGGUUUAAAGGGAGCGUAGGUGGAUUGUUAAGUCAGGUGUGAAAGUUUGCGGCUCAACCGUAAAAUUGCAGUUGAAACUGGCAGUCUUGAGUACAGUAGAGGUGGGCGGAAUUCGUGGUGUAGCGGUGAAAUGCUUAGAUAUCACGAAGAACUCCGAUUGCGAAGGCAGCUCACUGGACUGCAACUGACACUGAGGCUCGAAAGUGUGGGUAUCGAACAGGAUUAGAUACCCCUGUAGUC
RNAcentral lists this ribosomal RNA (460 nucleotides) under uncultured bacterium. RNAcentral's name for it is "partial 16S ribosomal RNA". It matches the Rfam family "Bacterial small subunit ribosomal RNA", at positions 338 to 795 of the family's 1533-position model. The record is from RNAcentral.